Molecule: ribosomal RNA, 424 nt
Filed under: uncultured Romboutsia sp.
Lineage: Bacteria; Bacillati; Bacillota; Clostridia; Peptostreptococcales; Peptostreptococcaceae
Description: bacterial SSU rRNA
Rfam family: Bacterial small subunit ribosomal RNA
Source: RNAcentral
CCUACGGGAGGCAGCAGUGGGGAAUAUUGCACAAUGGGGGAAACCCUGAUGCAGCGACGCCGCGUGAAGGAAGAAGUAUCUCGGUAUGUAAACUUCUAUCAGCAGGGAAGAUAGUGACGGUACCUGACUAAGAAGCCCCGGCUAACUACGUGCCAGCAGCCGCGGUAAUACGUAGGGAGCAAGCGUUGUCCGGAUUUACUGGGUGUAAAGGGUGCGUAGGCGGAUUGGCAAGUCAGAAGUGAAAUCCAUGGGCUUAACCCAUGAACUGCUUUUGAAACUGUUAGUCUUGAGUGAAGUAGAGGUAGGCGGAAUUCCCGGUGUAGCGGUGAAAUGCGUAGAGAUCGGGAGGAACACCAGUGGCGAAGGCGGCCUACUGGGCUUUAACUGACGCUGAGGCACGAAAGUGUGGGUAGCAAACAGGAUU